RNAcentral lists this ribosomal RNA (497 nucleotides) under uncultured bacterium. RNAcentral describes it as "partial 16S ribosomal RNA". It matches the Rfam family "Bacterial small subunit ribosomal RNA", at positions 28 to 507 of the family's 1533-position model. The record is from RNAcentral.
GACGAACGCUGGCGGCGUGCCUAAUACAUGCAAGUAGAACGCUGAAGCGAGGAGCUUGCUCUUCUUGGAUGAGUUGCGAACGGGUGAGUAACGCGUAGGUAACCUGCCUUGUAGCGGGGGAUAACUAUUGGAAACGAUAGCUAAUACCGCAUAACAAUGGAUGACACAUGUCAUUUAUUUGAAAGGGGCAAUUGCUCCACUACAAGAUGGACCUGCGUUGUAUUAGCUAGUAGGUGAGGUAAUGGCUCACCUAGGCGACGAUACAUAGCCGACCUGAGAGGGUGAUCGGCCACACUGGGACUGAGACACGGCCCAGACUCCUACGGGAGGCAGCAGUAGGGAAUCUUCGGCAAUGGGGGCAACCCUGACCGAGCAACGCCGCGUGAGUGAAGAAGGUUUUCGGAUCGUAAAGCUCUGUUGUAAGUCAAGAACGGGUGUGAGAGUGGAAAGUUCACACUAUGACGGUAGCUUACCAGAAAGGGACGGCUAACUACGUG